Molecule: small nuclear RNA, 104 nt
Organism: Octopus sinensis (East Asian common octopus)
Lineage: Eukaryota; Metazoa; Mollusca; Cephalopoda; Octopoda; Octopodidae
Source: RefSeq, a predicted model, not a curated record
AGACCCACGGCAGUACAUAUUCUAAAACUGGAACCAUACAGAGAAGAUUAGCAUGACCCUUACGCAAGGACGACACGCAAAUUCGUGAAACGUUGCAUAUUUAA